This is a long non-coding RNA of Dermochelys coriacea (leatherback sea turtle), 546 nucleotides long. RefSeq lists it as uncharacterized. The record is from RefSeq and is a predicted model, not a curated record. The transcript is spliced from 4 exons. NCBI's taxonomy places the organism in Eukaryota, Metazoa, Chordata, Testudines, Dermochelyidae.
UGCUUUUGCCGGGGACAGAACAGGAACGGAGUCUUAGAACUUAGAUCUACUUUCCGUACAGCCGAUCUCCCAAGUCUGAGUCUGGAAUCCUGUCCCCAGUGCACCAAGUGCAGGUGUCUUCGUUAUCAUCCCACUACAAUCCUGCCCCUUGCACUCGCCAGCUGCCUGGCACUAGCUCUCCAGCCAGCACCACACCUGACAGUUGGCAAUGAGCCACAACACAGCCCGUCCCUCAGCCCACGCACAGCUGGCCACCUGAUCAGGUCACCUUCCCAUCACCUGAGAUACCAAACAGCAUGGGGCCGAGAACAGAGCCCUGCAGGACCAUGCUAGAGCUAACCCCUGGUGUGAUGCACCCUCACCUGCACGUGACAUCUCUCAGUGACCAGCCCCCAGCCCAUAGCUACAGUGACCGUGCAGCGUUCACAUUUGAACCAGGAUGCCAGGAGGGACUACGUCAAAGUCCGUUACGACCUCCUCCUCUUAGACAAGGGCUUUGAUGUCAGAACGCAGCAGCGCUGGGGGCGGGACUGUUGACGAGGAUCC